This 331-nucleotide long non-coding RNA is filed under the name Castor canadensis (American beaver). Its description in RNAcentral is "lncRNA (ENSCCNG00000009060.1)". The record is from RNAcentral. Lineage: Eukaryota; Metazoa; Chordata; Mammalia; Rodentia; Castoridae.
GGAUCCACUGUUUUUGAGCAAAGUGAAUAAAGAUUCGAAGGGGCAGGACCAAGGAGAAGGGUCCUUUUACAACAUUUACAACAACAGGCAUUUUCUCUUUUUGACAGGUGAUGGGCAGAGAACUGCUCAGAUAGCUUUGUCAAACACUGUGUUGAGACCUCACUGUGUGAGAGCAGAGCACUGCAGAUAGUUUACAGCACCAGUCUCCUUAGCCAUGGCUAACCCCUGCAGCCUCUGGAAGGACACUGCACCCAGCCUUGGGGGAAGAGCUCAGAUAGAAGCAUGGGUCCAGAGCAAAGGGAAGCACAGUCUUAGUAAGAAGACCCCUUGA